CCCAGUAACGGCGAGUGAAGCGGCAACAGCUCAAAUUUGAAAUCUGGCCCCCCGCGGGCCCGAGUUGUACUUUGGAGAGGACGCUUCUGGCGCGGCGCCGUCCGAGUUCCCUGGAACGGGACGCCGGAGAGGGUGAGAGCCCCGUACGGGCGGCCGCCUAGCCUCUGCGAAGCUCCUUCGACGAGUCGAGUAGUUUGGGAAUGCUGCUCAAAAUGGGAGGUAAAUUUCUUCUAAAGCUAAAUACCGGCCAGAGACCGAUAGCGCACAAGUAGAGUGAUCGAAAGAUGAAAAGCACUUUGAAAAGAGGGUCAAACAGUACGUGAAAUUGUUGAAAGGGAAGCGCCUGUGGCCAGACUUGCGCCCCGCGGACCACCCGGCGCCUCGCGCGCCGGGGCACGCCAGCGGGGCGCAGGCCAGCAUCGGCUCUCUCGGGGGGACAAAGGCCGCGGGAACGUAGCGCCCUCGCGGCGUAUUAUAGCCCGCGGCGCCAUGCCCCCGGGGGGGCCGAGGACCGCGCUCCGGCAAGGAUGCUGGCGUAAUGGCCACCGGCGACCCGUCUUGAAACACGGACCAAGGAGUCAAGCAUUGGGGCGAGUGUCUGGGUGGCAAGCCCGCACGCGGAAUGAAAGUGAACGCAGGUGGGAGCUUCGGCGCACCACCGACCGAUCCUGAUGUCCUCGGAUGGAUUUGAGUAGGAGCCCCGCCGCUUGGACCCGAAAGAUGGUGAACUAUGCCUGUAUAGGGUGAAGCCAGAGGAAACUCUGGUGGAGGCCCGCAGCGGUUCUGACGUGCAAAUCGAUCGUCAAAUAUGGGCA
Molecule: ribosomal RNA, 815 nt
Filed under: Harringtonia lauricola
Lineage: Eukaryota; Fungi; Ascomycota; Sordariomycetes; Ophiostomatales; Ophiostomataceae
Description: Raffaelea lauricola partial large subunit ribosomal RNA
Rfam family: Eukaryotic large subunit ribosomal RNA
Source: RNAcentral